AAGUGAAGGUCCCAGCAGAGGGUUAUUCGAUAAAGUUGAAAACUCUCUAACAUUAUAACCUUCAGAAAUGCAUUAUGCCAUGCCGUACAAUGCUUGAAUGAUUGUCUGUAUUUCAAAGCAUUUUAAUCCAUGGCUACAUGCCU
Molecule: non-coding RNA, 143 nt
Organism: Oryza nivara
Lineage: Eukaryota; Viridiplantae; Streptophyta; Magnoliopsida; Poales; Poaceae
Source: Rfam